CGUCUGCGCGCGCGCCCCGGCGGCUGCGGAGCGGCCGCGCGGCUGUCUAGGAAACGGCGGCCUCGGGUGGCCGGGCUGGCGGCGGGAGCCGGGCAGGGGGCGGGGGCUGGGGACUCGGCCAGCGCCAGGGCCAGAACGGAGCGCGCCGGCCUCGUGGCUUGGUUUCUAUCAAAGCAGAAGAAAUAGAGGUGAACUACAAAAAGUGAGAACCAGUUUCCUCUGUACUCUGCAAUCUAGGAGAAAAAACUCAUCCAAGGACAGAUCAGGUGCUGUUUUUCAACCCUAAACUUUUGACCAAGAAUGAAACUCUUUAAAAAUUAAGAUGCCAACAGAUCACGAAGAGCCCUGUGGUCCCAGUCACAGGUCAUUUUGCCUGAAUGGAGGGAUUUGUUAUGUGAUACCUACUAUUCCCAGCCCCUUUUGUAGAUGCAUCGAAAAUUACACAGGAGCUCGUUGUGAAGAGGUUUUUCUCCCAAGUUCCAGCAUCCAAACUGAAAGUGACCUGUUCACAACUUUUGCAGCAUUGGCUGUUCUUCUGGGGACUCUCAUCAUUGGAGUCCUCUACUUCCUUUGCAGGAAGGGCCACCUUCAGAGGGCCAGUUCAGUCCAGUAUGAUAUCAGCCUGGUAGAGACAAGCAGUACCAGUGCCCACCACAGUCAUGCAGAACAUUGAAGAAAUACCAUAGUGAACUCAAAAUCGUUGCUUCUUUGUUACAAAGGCAGAAAAUGAAGCACCAUACGAUACAGCAUUGCUUCUUCUUAGCGUCUGAGAUGGCUCACUGUCACAUCCACUUCUAGGCAACAGGAUCCAAAAAGGGCAGGAAAACAGUCACACCGUAUUCUAAUGGACCCAGUAUCGCUGCCCUAACAUUUCACUGACCAGGACAGUCAUACGUGCAAUGGAGACCAGGAAAUGCAGCUGUCUUUAGUGUGGUGUGCAGGUGACUAGCACCAUUUGAUUUUUCAAUCAAAGGCUUUCUAACUAUGUAAAAAGGAAAGAAUGGAUAUUGGGGGAAAAUGGGUAUUCUCUGCACUUAUUUUAUUUCAGUAUUUGCAUAUAUAGAAAUUUUUACUAGAAUUAUGCCAGCUCUUGCUGGCUGACAAAUACCAUUAUUCUGGGUUUGCUUUUCUGAAGGAUCAGUUUACAUCAUUCACUCACCCAAAGCAAUGACGUACAGAACUAUCUGAAUGAGUUUCCAAGGUCUGUUUUAUCGGUAUAAAACCAAAAUAAGAUGAUGUAAUUGGGU
RNA transcript from Sus scrofa (pig), 1247 nucleotides. It is a transcript of the gene named neuregulin 4, with no coding region annotated. NCBI's taxonomy places the organism in Eukaryota, Metazoa, Chordata, Mammalia, Artiodactyla, Suidae. The record is from RefSeq and is a predicted model, not a curated record.